Molecule: ribosomal RNA, 440 nt
Filed under: uncultured bacterium
Lineage: Bacteria
Description: partial 16S ribosomal RNA
Rfam family: Bacterial small subunit ribosomal RNA
Source: RNAcentral
CCUACGGGUGGCAGCAGUGGGGGAUAUUGCACAAUGGGGGGAACCCUGAUGCAGCGACGCCGCGUGGGUGAAGAAGCGCCUCGGCGCGUAAAGCCCUGUCAGCAGGGAAGAAAAUGACGGUACCUGAAGAAGAAGCCCCGGCUAACUACGUGCCAGCAGCCGCGGUAAUACGUAGGGGGCAAGCGUUAUCCGGAUUUACUGGGUGUAAAGGGGGCGCAGACGGCGAUGCAAGCCAGGAGUGAAAUCCCGCGGCUCAACCGCGGAACUGCAUUUGAAACUGUUUUUCUUGAGUACCGGAGAGGUCAUCGGAAUUCCUUGUGUAGCGGUGAAAUGCGUAGAUAUAAGGAAGAACACCAGUGGCGAAGGCGGAUGACUGGACGGCAACUGACGGUGAGGCGCGAAAGCGUGGGGAGCAAACAGGAUUAGAUACCCGGGUAGUC